CCUACGGGUGGCAGCAGUGGGGAAUAUUGCGCAAUGGGCGAAAGCCUGACGCAGCGACGCCGCGUGAGGGAUGAAGGUCUUCGGAUCGUAAACCUCUGUCAGCAGGGAAGAACGGUCACUGUGCUAAUCAGCAGUGAAUUGACGGUACCUGCAAAGGAAGCACCGGCUAAGUCCGUGCCAGCAGCCGCGGUAAUACGGAGGGUGCGAGCGUUAAUCGGAGUUACUGGGCGUAAAGCGCUCGUAGGCGGUAUGUCAAGUCAAGGGGGAAAUCCCCGCGCUCAACGUGGGAACUGCCUUUGAAACUGGCAAACUGGAGUGUGGGAGAGGAGAGUGGAAUUCGAGGUGUAGGAGUGAAAUGCGUAGAUAUCUGGAGGAACAUCAGUGGCGAAGGCGACUAUCGGGCACAUAACUGACGCUGAGGCGCGAAAGCGUGGGUAGCAAACAGGAUUAGAUACCCGUGUAGUC
RNAcentral lists this ribosomal RNA (465 nucleotides) under uncultured bacterium. Its description in RNAcentral is "partial 16S ribosomal RNA". It matches the Rfam family "Bacterial small subunit ribosomal RNA", at positions 338 to 795 of the family's 1533-position model. The record is from RNAcentral.